This is a non-coding RNA of Cinara cedri, 1051 nucleotides long. Lineage: Eukaryota; Metazoa; Arthropoda; Insecta; Hemiptera; Aphididae. The record is from the annotation of a GenBank genome assembly.
AUUGUAUACGUAUGUAUGUAUAUAACUUGGACGUUAUUUUACAGCAAAUCCAAUGUUGAAUGCGUCAUUAUUUAACGUUUUAUGGUAAUGGCAUUUGUAUUAAUUUAUACAAAAUAAAGUUUUAUUUUUUUUCACUUGAAAUCACCGAUGUCGUUUUGUUAAUAUGAUUUAAAAUCAUGUCAACGUUUACGCAAACGCGAUCGAAUAUUACGAGAAUUAUACAAAUUCAACGCUACAACAAUACGAAUAAACUACGAUUAAACACAGACGGCAGAUAUACUAAAAGCGCAAUAUGUUUCUAAAUAAUCAUUUCGGACAAAAUCUUUACAGCUGUACAGAUAAUAUGUUUACCUUUAUUGUUUUUUAUUUUUUAUUUAUUCCAUAUGGCCACCAUUCCGGCACCUUUGUGUUUAAUAAUAGGUCGUUCACUCUAACAUUAAAAUUAAUACGUUUGCACGCAAAUGUGCCGCGCCGUACGUUUCUAAAACGGAGAUAGCACAUGCGAGUAUCACGUCAUCUUAAGAUAACAAAGAUUUUACAUCGAGUUACGGGACCUGUAUGUUAAUACCGAGGUCGUACAUAUUAUAAAUAAUCGUCUUUUUGAUUACGUGUACGUAUAUUAUAACUGUUCACGUUGAUUCUUAACUUUCAUCAAUUUUCUACGGUAAUCUUUGUUCGUUACUAUCGUAUAUUAAAAUACACAUUAUAUUCGUAUUGUAAGUAUGUAAGAAAACGUUUUUUUCACGUGCACGUUGCGUUUUGCCGUAGAUUUUCGUAUCAUUAUGAUUAUAAUAUGUUACUACCGGUACUGAGGUCCUUUGUUGGGUUUCGGCGCGUUUACCGCGGUACAUAUUCCGACGGAACCAUCUCGAAAGCUAUAUACAAUAAUAUAUUGUAACAUAACAUUACUAUUAUCGAAUACGAUUAAAGCAUUUAAUAUUUAUCAUUGUAAUAAUAUGUCGUUUGGUUAUUCGAUUAUAAAGAUUUGAUUAAAGUCAAUUAAAAAACUAAUAAUAAUAACCCCGUCUUUUUAUUUUUGAUUUAGCCCCGU